AGCACCGCCACGGGAAUACGAAGGGUGCAAGCGUUACUCGGAAUUACUGGGCGUAAAGCGUGCGUAGGUGGUGGUUUAAGUCCGUUGUGAAAGCCCUGGGCUCAACCUGGGAAUUGCAGUGGAUACUGGGUCACUAGAGUGUGGUAGAGGAUAGUGGAAUUUCCGGUGUAGCAGUGAAAUGCGUAGAGAUCGGAAGGAACAUCUGUGGCGAAGGCGACUAUCUGGGCCAACACUGACACUGAGGCACGAAAGCGUGGGGAGCAAACAGGAUUAGAUACCCCAGUAGUCCCUGUCUCUUAUACA
RNAcentral lists this ribosomal RNA (303 nucleotides) under uncultured bacterium. RNAcentral describes it as "partial 16S ribosomal RNA". It matches the Rfam family "Bacterial small subunit ribosomal RNA", at positions 510 to 808 of the family's 1533-position model. The record is from RNAcentral.